CUCUUAAGACACUUCACAUUUAUUUUUUAGAAAUACACAUUAAGCUUCAUCUAAAAUAUCACUUCUAAAACAAAUAAAUGUCUAUUUCACGGACAGCUCUCUGUCCCCCGGUUCCCACAACAAAAGGAGUAGUACACAGUUCAAUACGCUGCAUAAAGCAAGCACUUCGUAGCCGCUGCUUACUAACAAGCUAAACCUUGCCACGGUGUACUGGGUUAUAAGCUAAUGCAGUUUUCUAAAGAUUUGGGAUCCUCCAAUUAUACUUAUAUAGAAAUAGAAAAGUAACAAAAGGUUGCCCAGUAAUACUGUUUUGAAAUAUUAAAGUUAUAACAAUAAAUAAUAAAAUCUUCAUGUCUGAAAAGUCUAGCAAUAAACUUCAAGGUCAGUUCCCCUAGACCUCUGCUUGACUAAAUUCUAAAACAUUAUAAAAAAAAAAUCAUAUAUUAGGUAUAUGAUUACUAAGGCCAAUUUCUAUUUAUUCUAUGAGUUUUUAUAUCCUGGUAUUCAAGGUCACCUCAAGUACAAUAAUCAUAAUACAGUGUACUAUGAUACUGGACUGUUAGUCUAAAUAGAGAAUAUGAGUGGGAAAUUAUAUUUAACCUGUGUUAAUACAACUGAUAAAUGUUUAAGUUUAUUCCCUUAUAAUCUCUAAAUAAGGGUAAAAUGAUAAUACUUACUGAAUAAUACAAGCUGUAGCACCAAUCAUUUG
RNAcentral lists this long non-coding RNA (709 nucleotides) under Bos taurus (domestic cattle). Its description in RNAcentral is "long non-coding RNA NONBTAT015187". The record is from RNAcentral. Lineage: Eukaryota; Metazoa; Chordata; Mammalia; Artiodactyla; Bovidae.